Molecule: small nuclear RNA, 160 nt
Organism: Saimiri boliviensis boliviensis (Bolivian squirrel monkey)
Lineage: Eukaryota; Metazoa; Chordata; Mammalia; Primates; Cebidae
Product: U1 spliceosomal RNA
Source: RefSeq, a predicted model, not a curated record
AUACUAACCUGACGGGAGAUACCAUGAUCACGAAGGUGGUUUUCCCAGGGCGAGGCUUAUCCAUUGCACUCCAGAUGUGCUGACCCCUGUGAUUUCCCUUUUACUAUAUUAAAAAAAAAUUUUUUUAAAGAUCAGCUAAUUAAUAACCUUAAUUUCUUAU